RNAcentral lists this ribosomal RNA (440 nucleotides) under uncultured bacterium. RNAcentral's name for it is "partial 16S ribosomal RNA". It matches the Rfam family "Bacterial small subunit ribosomal RNA", at positions 338 to 795 of the family's 1533-position model. The record is from RNAcentral.
CCUACGGGGGGCAGCAGUGGGGGAUAUUGCACAAUGGGGGGAACCCUGAUGCAGCGACGCCGCGUGGGUGAAGAAGCGCCUCGGCGCGUAAAGCCCUGUCAGCAGGGAAGAAAAUGACGGUACCUGAAGAAGAAGCUCCGUCUAACUACGUGCCAGCAGCCGCGGUAAUACGGAGGGGGCAAGGGUUAUCCGGAUUUACUGGGUGUAAUGGGGGCGCAGACGGCGAUGCAAGCCAGGAGUGAAAGCCCGGGGCCCAACCCCGGGACUGCUCUUGGAACGGCGUGGCUGGAGUACAGGAGGGGCAGGCGGAAUUCGUGGUGUAGCGGUGAAAUGCGUAGAUAUCAGGAGGAACACCGGUGGCGAAGGCGGCCUGCUGGACUGCAACUGACGUUGAGGCCCGAAAGCGUGGGGAGCAAACAGGAUUAGAUACCCCUGUAGUC